GACUCUAUGGCCCAAUGGAUAAGGCGCUGGUCUACGGAAUCAGAGAUUCCAGGUUCGGUCCCUGGUGGGGUCG
This 73-nucleotide transfer RNA is filed under the name Ricinus communis (castor bean). RNAcentral's name for it is "tRNA-Arg". It matches the Rfam family "tRNA". From Rfam's summary of the family: Transfer RNA (tRNA) molecules are approximately 80 nucleotides in length. Their secondary structure includes four short double-helical elements and three loops (D, anti-codon, and T loops). Lineage: Eukaryota; Viridiplantae; Streptophyta; Magnoliopsida; Malpighiales; Euphorbiaceae. The record is from RNAcentral.